This 468-nucleotide ribosomal RNA is filed under the name uncultured bacterium. RNAcentral describes it as "partial 16S ribosomal RNA". It matches the Rfam family "Bacterial small subunit ribosomal RNA", at positions 28 to 507 of the family's 1533-position model. The record is from RNAcentral.
GACGAACGCUGGCGGCGUGCUUAACACAUGCGAGUCGAACGGAAAGGCCCUGCUUUUGUGGGGUGCUCGAGUGGCGAACGGGUGAGUAACACGUGAGUAACCUGCCCUUGACUUUGGGAUAACUUCAGGAAACUGGGGCUAAUACCGGAUAGGAGCUCCUGCUGCAUGGUGGGGGUUGGAAAGUUUCGGCGGUUGGGGAUGGACUCGCGGCUUAUCAGCUUGUUGGUGGGGUAGUGGCUUACCGAGGCUUUGACGGGUAGCCGGCCUGGGAGGGUGACCGGCCCCAUUGGGACUGGGAUACGGCCCAGACUCCUACGGGAGGCAGCAGUGGGGAAUAUUGCACAAUGGGCGGAAGCCUGAUGCAGCAACGCCGCGUGCGGGAUGACGGCCUUCGGGUUGUAAACCGCUUUCGCCUGUGACGAAGCGUGAGUGACGGUAAUGGGUAAAGAAGCACCGGCUAACUACGUG